Molecule: ribosomal RNA, 752 nt
Filed under: Enterobacter hormaechei
Lineage: Bacteria; Pseudomonadati; Pseudomonadota; Gammaproteobacteria; Enterobacterales; Enterobacteriaceae
Description: bacterial SSU rRNA
Rfam family: Bacterial small subunit ribosomal RNA
Source: RNAcentral
ACAUGCAAGUCACGGUAACAGGAAGCAGCUUGCUGCUUCGCUGACGAGUGGCGGACGGGUGAGUAAUGUCUGGGAAACUGCCUGAUGGAGGGGGAUAACUACUGGAAACGGUAGCUAAUACCGCAUAACGUCGCAAGACCAAAGAGGGGGACCUUCGGGCCUCUUGCCAUCGGAUGUGCCCAGAUGGGAUUAGCUAGUAGGUGGGGUAACGGCUCACCUAGGCGACGAUCCCUAGCUGGUCUGAGAGGAUGACCAGCCACACUGGAACUGAGACACGGUCCAGACUCCUACGGGAGGCAGCAGUGGGGAAUAUUGCACAAUGGGCGCAAGCCUGAUGCAGCCAUGCCGCGUGUAUGAAGAAGGCCUUCGGGUUGUAAAGUACUUUCAGCGGGGAGGAAGGCGAUAAGGUUAAUAACCUUGUCGAUUGACGUUACCCGCAGAAGAAGCACCGGCUAACUCCGUGCCAGCAGCCGCGGUAAUACGGAGGGUGCAAGCGUUAAUCGGAAUUACUGGGCGUAAAGCGCACGCAGGCGGUCUGUCAAGUCGGAUGUGAAAUCCCCGGGCUCAACCUGGGAACUGCAUUCGAAACUGGCAGGCUAGAGUCUUGUAGAGGGGGGUAGAAUUCCAGGUGUAGCGGGUGAAAUGCGUAGAGAUCUGGAGGAAUACCGGGUGGGCGAAGGGCGGCCCCCCUGGACAAAGACUGACGCUCAGGUGCGAAAAGCGUGGGGGGAGCAAACAGGGAUUAGAUACCC